RNAcentral lists this long non-coding RNA (576 nucleotides) under Pan troglodytes (chimpanzee). RNAcentral's name for it is "lncRNA (ENSPTRG00000054010.1)". The record is from RNAcentral. Lineage: Eukaryota; Metazoa; Chordata; Mammalia; Primates; Hominidae.
UCCUAACGUGUUUCCGCUGUUUACUUCUAGCAGUUUCAUAGGUUCAGGGUUGAGUGGACUCAGGAGGAUGCUGUCCAGUCCGGGAUGUGGAGAGGCAGGGGCUGUGGGGCCCCGGGGCCAGAUGCAGUGAUGCGGACCCCCACCGCCAGAUGGCACUGUGCUGGGGGUGGAGAGGAACAAAGCCGGUUCCCUCUGGAACGAGGCUGGCAUCUCCCUGCCCUGGGCUCGGAGACUGUGAGGGCCAAGAGGCACUCCUGCAGCCAACUUGUAGAUGUCCCUGGUGGGAGCGUGGACUGCAGGGGACCUCUCACUUACCUUUCCCCACAAUGGGUAGUCCUUGUUGCCCCGAGUCAGUCCCGUCCCGUUGUUUUGCUUCCCGCUCUCGGCCGCCACCUUGAGUCUCCACGCCUCGGCACCUCAGCGCUCUCCUGGCGCCUCAGCCCGCUCUCCUGGCGCCUCAGCCCGCUCUCCUGGCGCCUCAGCCCUCCCUCCUCGCUGAACGCCAACAGUGCUCUUCCUCAGAUGCUCGAUUUGACUGGUGUGAGGUACAAAACGGUCACGAAAGUGAAAUCAUGA